GUCGGACUUCGCGGAAGUUGGGGUUCCCCAGAGUUGAGGUUCAAACUUCCCGCCGGAAGCCACCUGAGAUGGCAUGUCAUUCCCAGAGGAUCCCUUCUGGUCAGAAAAAGAUCUGGGAAUCUUCUUAAUAGCAAGACCAAGGCAGCUUCAAUAACCAGUGUACAGGUGACAAGGUGGCAAACAAGACUGACACACACAUCAGACACUUGGGCUACACAAGGAGAACCUCUUGUCCGCUGGCAUGACUGACCAUGCUCCAGGACUCAAUGAUAGGAACACAAAAGGACCAGCAGGAUGGGAGAGAGGAAGAGAGAAACAGAGAGAGAGGAUGUGCAACACCAGGGUCUCCACC
This is a long non-coding RNA of Jaculus jaculus (lesser Egyptian jerboa), 352 nucleotides long. RefSeq lists it as uncharacterized. The transcript is spliced from 3 exons. Lineage: Eukaryota; Metazoa; Chordata; Mammalia; Rodentia; Dipodidae. The record is from RefSeq and is a predicted model, not a curated record.